UACAGAGGUCCCAAGCGUUGUUCGGAUUCAUUGGGCGUAAAGGGUGCGUAGGCGGCGCGGUAAGUCGGGUGUGAAAUCUCGGGGCUUAACUCCGAAACUGCAUUCGAUACUGCCGUGCUUGAGGACUGGAGAGGGGACUGGAAUUUACGGUGUAGCGGUGAAAUGCGUAGAUAUCGUAAGGAAGACCAGUGGCGAAGGCGGGUCUCUGGACAGUUCCUGACGCUGAGGCACGAAGGUCAGGGGAGCAAACGGG
RNAcentral lists this ribosomal RNA (253 nucleotides) under uncultured bacterium. RNAcentral describes it as "partial 16S ribosomal RNA". It matches the Rfam family "Bacterial small subunit ribosomal RNA", at positions 524 to 776 of the family's 1533-position model. The record is from RNAcentral.